AAACUCACCAGGUCAGGACACGGUAAGGAUUGACGGACUGAAGGCUCUUUCUCGAUUCCGUGGAAAGUGGUGCAUGGCCGUUUUUGGUUGGUGGAUCGAUCCGUCUGGUUAAUUCCGUUAACGAACGAGACCUCGGCACUCCGAAUAGCGCGGCGGACGUCGCGGCCUCCGGGCCGUCUUCCGCACGAGCUUCUUAGAGGGACCGUCCCCCGCCGGGGAAGGAGGUGCGAGGCAACGACAGGUCUGUGAUGCCCUUAGAUGUUCUGGGCCGCACGCGCAUUACACUGACGCGUCCAACGGUGACUCCCGACCCGAAGGGGCCGGGGAAUCCGCAAGGCGCGUCGUGAUGGGGAUUGAACGUUGCAAUUGUUGUUCACGAACGAGGAAUUCCUAGUAGGCGCGGGUCAUCAACCCGCGCCGAUUACGUCCCUGCCCCUUUGUA
This 442-nucleotide ribosomal RNA is filed under the name uncultured eukaryote. RNAcentral's name for it is "bacterial SSU rRNA". It matches the Rfam family "Eukaryotic small subunit ribosomal RNA", at positions 1211 to 1664 of the family's 1831-position model. The record is from RNAcentral.